Molecule: transfer RNA, 69 nt
Filed under: Ictidomys tridecemlineatus (thirteen-lined ground squirrel)
Lineage: Eukaryota; Metazoa; Chordata; Mammalia; Rodentia; Sciuridae
Description: Spermophilus tridecemlineatus (thirteen-lined ground squirrel) tRNA
Rfam family: tRNA
About the family: Transfer RNA (tRNA) molecules are approximately 80 nucleotides in length.
Source: Rfam by way of RNAcentral
GGGAUUGUGGCUCAGUGGCAGAGCACUUGCCUUGUAAGUAUGAGGCACUGGAUUUGAGCCUCAGCACCA